GCUCUUGUAGCGCAGUGGUAGCGCGUUCGUUUCACGUGCGAAAGGUCCCGGGUUCGACCCCCGGCGAGAGCA
RNAcentral lists this transfer RNA (72 nucleotides) under Giardia muris. It matches the Rfam family "tRNA". Rfam says of the family: Transfer RNA (tRNA) molecules are approximately 80 nucleotides in length. Their secondary structure includes four short double-helical elements and three loops (D, anti-codon, and T loops). The record is from Rfam by way of RNAcentral. Lineage: Eukaryota; Fornicata; Diplomonadida; Hexamitidae.